AGUGAACGCUGGCGGUAGGCCUAACACAUGCAAGUCGAACGGCAGCACAGUAAGAGCUAGCUCUUACGGGUGGCGAGUGGCGGACGGAUGAGGAAUACAUCGGAAUCUACUUUUUCGUGGGGGAUAACGUAGGGAAACUUACGCUAAUACCGCAUACGACCUACGGGUGAAAGCAGGGGAUCUUCGGACCUUGCGCGAUUGAAUGAGCCGAUGUCGGAUUAGCUAGUUGGCGGGGUAAAGGCCCACCAAGGCGACGAUCCGUAGCUGGUCUGAGAGGAUGAUCAGCCACACUGGAACUGAGACACGGUCCAGACUCCUACGGGAGGCAGCAGUGGGGAAUAUUGGACAAUGGGCGCAAGCCUGAUCCAGCCAUACCGCGUGGGUGAAGAAGGCCUUCGGGUUGUAAAGCCCUUUUGUUGGGAAAGAAAAGCAGCAGGUUAAUACCCCGCUGUUCUGACGGUACCCAAAGAAUAAGCACCGGCUAACUUCGUG
RNAcentral lists this ribosomal RNA (492 nucleotides) under uncultured bacterium. Its description in RNAcentral is "partial 16S ribosomal RNA". It matches the Rfam family "Bacterial small subunit ribosomal RNA", at positions 29 to 507 of the family's 1533-position model. The record is from RNAcentral.